This is a long non-coding RNA of Amaranthus tricolor (Joseph's coat), 6855 nucleotides long. RefSeq lists it as uncharacterized. The record is from RefSeq and is a predicted model, not a curated record. The transcript is spliced from 4 exons. NCBI's taxonomy places the organism in Eukaryota, Viridiplantae, Streptophyta, Magnoliopsida, Caryophyllales, Amaranthaceae.
AUUUAUCGUGAAAUAAUUUUUCUCUAAAAUUGAUCCUUAAGUUAAUUGAGUCAAUUAAAUUGUGGUUGGGUUAAAAAUAAAUUAGGUUUUAAUUUGGCCAGAAAUCAAAUUAAAUAAUUAUGAUCUGAUUUGAUUUUGACUUGUUCAAGACAAGCUAAUUCUUUCAAUAUCUUCAUAAAUAAUUCUCAUUCCGCAACCUCUUUAGCCUACUCAUUGUUUUACUGGCACUCCGACUCCAAAUUACUAGCAGGAUAUCAGCCAGCUGAUCUUUGGAUCGAACAAUCGGAAGACAAAUUACUUUUUCAUCUAGGGUUGCUCUUAUAAGUGAUGUCAAUCUCUAUGUGUUUUGUUCGAUCAUAUUGUAUUGGAUUCUCUGAAAUACUGAUAGCAACUUAUCACAUAUGAGUUUGCAAGUGUUCUUUGGUGGGAAUCCAAGUUCAGUUAACAAUUUUCUGAUCCAAAGAACUUUACAUAUCCCCCAAAUAAUUCUUCGAAACUCUGCUUUUGCACUUGAAAGAGCCAACCCUUUUUUUUUUUCUUACUUCUCCUGGUAACAAGAUUACCUCCGACCAUGGUAAAGUAACCAACAAUUGAUUUUUGAUCAUUCGGAUUUCAUGCCCAAUCUGCAUCGAUGUAAGUAUCUAUUUCCAGAUUUGUACCUUUCAGAAACAAUACUUCCAUCCCAAUAGUUCCUUUUAGAUACCUGACGACGCGAAGGGCAGCAUUCAUGUGUUCUUCUUGAGGGUUAUGCAUAAUUUGACUUAUUACUCCAACUGCAUAAGCAAUAUCUAGUCUGGUAUGAGCACGAUAGAUAAGUUUCCCAACUAGUCUUUGAUAUUGCUCUUUGUUUGUUGAUUCUGCUACUUCAUUCAUAUGAAGACCAAUUCUCUAUUAUUCUCAUUGCUAUAAUUACAAUAUUAUGAUUUUAUUUCUUACAGACUGAAUUAGAUUGGAGUUAUGAGAACAAUUUGUGAAGAGUAAAAGUGAUUGUCAAACCUGAACUUAACAUAAAAUAGGUUGGGGAUAUGCCAUAAAACAUUUUCAUUUUAUUGGUGAGUUAGCGCAUUUUCAUAUUGAAGCUAUGUUGUUUUUUGCCUGUUUUUGUUGAGAAUUUAGAAUUGGAAUGGAUUGAAGGUAAAGCUAUUUAAUAUCAAGGCCCAAAGAUUGCAUUGAUGGAUUUGUUAUUUCAAUAAAGGAAAAAGGACUCAACGUAUUUAUAGAUUGGGUGAAAACCAACCAGCUAAAAGUUGCAACUUUCUUCAACAUACUGCAUACCUUUUCUAUUUUACGUUUUUUAGGAGUAAUAGCUGUUAUUGAUGUAUUAUACAAUAUUCUUGAUCAAGGUGUUGGUUGUAGGCUUAUGUACGAAUAUAUGUGUACUUUUGAGCGUGUGCAAAGUGUGACCUCCCUCGGUAAUUUGUAGAGACUACAGAAGGUGCAAUUGCACAUUCACAGCUAAAUGAAUCUCUUCUUAUCGCACAUCUCUGUUGCAAUCAGAAUCUGGAUUUUUUUUUGAUGCUGUAGUGCUUGCAACAUUGAGAGAAAACACAUUGUUCUGCCUUACUGACAUGCUCAGUUCUUCAUUCAAUUGCUAAGUGAGCAAUCCAUUAUUGUGCCUUGAUUACUGAGCUCAUUUUUAAUAGCUAUGAAGAAUUCUUAUUGAUCUUAGGAAAUAUCUGUUAAUGUGAGUGUGUAUAUGCAAUGUGGUAGAGGAGAUAUAGUGAGUUAAGUGGAGGUAGAGUAGAUUCUGUUUCAUUAAGUGGUGGAAAAACAUGUGAAUGAUUAUUUUUAGUAAUGAUUUUAUGUUGCCAACUAUCGGAUGUAUGUAAUUGUACCUUUGUAAUAACAAAGUAAUUGUUUCUUGUUGACCAUCGAUUGUACACUCCAUCUGGGGCGGCUUCGCAUAAAUAAAAAGCACUCAUGUUUGUUUGAUGCAUUGAUGUACACAUUUGAUAUAAUUAAAUAAGUGAUGGCUUGUAAAUUUUUAUUAAGAACAGAUGAACAACACCACUGCAUUACCCUAACACCAUUAAGUUUCACAUAACUGUCAGGUAUAUGUUUGAGAAAUGUAUCGGCAAACUCUCUUGGUACGUUCAUGUAAUUGAUGACACUGUUCGAAGUGUUGCCAUCUUAAGGAUAAGCUUGUAAAUUGUAAUGCACUGAAGAUUUUCAAAGAGAUCUUUAAUGUGGAGUUGGGUGUGACUUUGUUAUUGACACUGUGACAGACAUCACCGACUUUUUUACUAUGCUUACUGUAUCUUGUUGCAGGAUUUGAUGUGUCAUAUAUGUCUGUACAUUGCUCAAGGAAGAGGAGCAAAGUGGUAACAGGUGUCUUUCAAAACACAGCCACGACAUUUCGUAAUUGCUGCAGAUUCAUGAAUUUUUCGGGUGUGGACAGUAUUUUUUCUGGUUAUAUAUUAUACUUACUGAGGUUCACAUGUAUAAUGUGAUCCAAUCUUGACUUCUUGAUGUGUCAUUAGACCACAAAGUACAUAAGAAUAUUUUAUUUUCGACCCUCCAAAAAUAUCUUUUGGUUUCUAGAAGAGAAAAGGUAUUUUGUUGUGUACUUUUUGGAUUUGUACUCGUGGCCCUUGUGCCAAGCCACUUAUUUUGUCGAUAAAUAACUUCCUCUUCCCAUCUCUUGCGUGCUCCCCCACAAAUGCUCCCCAACAAAGUGGGUAAAGAUGGAGAGACUCACCAAUCUUCCUCAUACUCAUUUUAUUCUCUGUAUACUUAUACUCACUAAUGUUAAUGCUAGUAAAAAUGCACUUCCCUUAUGGCAUUAAUCUCUAAAGUGAAAGUAAUUUGACGGAACUUUGAUAUUGUAACAGACCUAAAUUUUCUUAGGAUGAAUUUAUAAUCCUCAGUCUGGUAGUACUUAGUGGAACUUCGAUCAUAAUUAUAGUUAAUAGAAAGUAAUGACCACUUGAUUACUAGAAAAGAUAAAGGAAACAAUGAGCCAUUGUACACGAAACCAAACUUUGCAAUGUAUGUUCAUAUGUCAUCGAACGGAGCUUCAAACUAUAGGAGCUUGUUUUUGUGUUGAUAGUUAAAAACCUAUAAACUAUUGUACACACAAAUAAAUCUCUCUACAAGUCUGCCAAAAAAAGGAAAGAAAAAAAAGAACAGAUGGUCCUAAAAUCAGAUACAAGAAUGUAUAGAUACACCUCUGUCAAACAGCUGUAUCUGGAAAACGUACUAUAUGUAUUGCUUCUAGGGUGAUUUAUCGGCUUUUAAAUGAUGGUAUCUUCGAUUCAUCAUUGCUGGGUGCAUGCAGGAAAAUAUUGAUUGCUUUUUCUUUUGUGGUUUAACCCCAAAAAUGAACGAUCUUAAUGGCACUCGACCUCGGCUACCAGAUCUCUCAGUUUCAUUUCGGUUUUGGUAGCCAGAAAAUCCUAAUUCUUCACUCAACCUGGCUAAGGUACGCUCACCUUCAAGCUGGAGGCUGGUUAUAUAAUCCAUACCGGCUUGCAGUUCAUCAGCUACCUUGUUAUUCUCUUGUUGCAUGUUCGCUACCUCUCCUUGGAACUUUGCAGCUUGGAAACUUGUAAAUUUCAUGUCAUCAUCUUCAGCACCUGUGCUUAAAGCAUGCUUUAUUUCUUCUUGAAUAUGACACAACUGUGAAAAUCUCCUCUGUAGCUCUUCUUUUAGCUUUUCACUUUGCUCCAACCAGACAGUUAACUCUGUUUGUGUCUCUCUCAGGUGCUUGUAUAUUGGUCUAACAUCUGAUUUCAGAGAUGAACUUAUGUGAGUAUCUCCGUGACUGCUCCCUUCUUUAUUAUUGUGGGUUUUAUAAACCUUUGCUAAUUCUGCUUGUAAAUCUUGGACUACAUUCUGGAAUUUCUGGACUUGACCAAAUGAAGCACUGAACCUCAUCCAGAAAUCCAGGUUUUCCUCCAGAAUUUGAUCAAUGUCUGCUCGAAGUUUCUGUUCGACCGGUGAAAUCUCUUUUCCUUCACUAGGGAACAUAAGCUUUAUAUCAACGUCAUCUUCAAACUCUUGAUUUCUUGCUGCUGGCUCCUCAUCUUUGUCCCGCGCACUUUUAUGUUCAUCAAACCUUUUCUGUAAAGCAAUCAAUUUCUGACGCAAGGAAAGGAUCUCUUCAUCUUUCAUGGCAAGAGAAUUCUUCAACCCUUUAAGUUGUUUCUCGAUCUCUGAAAUAUUCUCUUGAUUUUUCAUCUCUGCUUCGCAAAGUUUCUUCUUGGUCUCCUUGUAGUUACGAAGUGUAGUUGUAUACUCUGCUAAAAGAACUUUUUCCUUCCCCUCCAAACCACUCAUAAAUAAGUGCUGCCAAUCUGGCUCAUCAUCUUCUUUUCUUUUCUCUGCAGUGUGCAAGAAUAAAGGUGCGUUUGGUUCCCACUCUUCUAGGGGAUUACUCAGAUGAUCUCUAAGCAUAGUUUUAGUUGCUUCCCCUUCAUUCUUGUUUGAAGGGUUUAGUGGGUGAUCAGUAUCAAUGGUGCUUGGCUUAGAUACCUGUGGUAAAAUAUCUAUCCUGGAAGACAUUCCGGAUUCAUCCAUUGACUGGAAAGCAAUUUCCCAGACUUUCGCUCCAUCUUCAGCAAGAUUCGAGCUACUAGUAUCACUUGCAGUUCUAUCUUGCAUUACCUCUUUUUUCAGAUCCACAUUUUCCGUGGAUGCUUUACUUUCUUGUAACUUAAUUGAUUCCUCAAGUACUCUCAGCUUAUUCUCCAUCUCACUCAGUUUGUCACUCAAAGUGGAUUUUGCAGCUAUUAGGUUUUCCUUCUCAUUUUCAAGGCUCUUAAUCUGUGACUGGAGAUCAUCAAUCUCAAAUCCUCUCAGCUUAUUCUCCAUCUCACCCAGCUUGACACUUAACGUGGUUUUCACCGCAAUCAGGCUUUCUUUCUCAUCUUCAAGGCUCCUAAUCUGCGAUUGUAAAUCAUCAAUCUCGAACCCUCUCAGCUUAUUUUCCAUCUCACCGAGCUUGUCACUUAAACUGGUUUUCCCGGAAAUCAGGUCGGCCUUGUCAUUUUCAAGGGUCUUAAUCUGCGCAUGGAGCUCCUCAAUCUCAACUCCUCCCAGCUUAUUCUCCAUUUCACCCAGCUUGUCACUCAAACUGGUUUUCCCAGCUAUUAGGUUUGCCUUAUCAUUUUCAAGGCUCCUAAUCUGCGACUGAAGCUCAUCAGUCUCUGACCUUAGUGUGUGAAUUAGAGCCGUCUGAGAAGAGAUCGAAGACUCUAGGUUGAUCACUUUAUUUACUAGUUCAUCUAUCUUUUCAGCCAUUUCUAAGACACUGAGUGAUGCAGUUUCACCAUCAUCAAAAUGCUCCUUGAUUUUGUCACGUAGUAUUUCGAGAUCCUUUGAUUCUUUCAUAGCAACCUUAGCUUCGUCAUCGAAGCUAGUCAAAUCUUCUUGAAAGGGAUCUCCAUUCUCCGAGGCAUCAAUUUGGUUGCCAAAGAGCUCACUCUUGAGAGAAUUUAACUUGCUGCGCGUUUCUUUAAUCCUCUGCCUCUCCUCUUUUGCUGCAGCUACAGUUCUGUCUUGCUUCUCCUGUAGCUCAGCCAAGGUGUCAUUGCAUGACUUAAUAGCCGCUUCCGCCAUCAGAGUCCGGGCUUCCUCAUCCUCUAUAACUUGAGAUACCCCAAAUUCAUCUUGUAACUCUGAGAUUUUUUCUUGUGUUCCACUGAUUUGUUCAUCAAUAUCGCAGUACUUGGCGUACCCGCUUUCAUAAGAACUCUUUGCAAACUCCUUCUCGGUUUGAAGAGUCAGAAUUUGUUUUUGAAGCUUGUCAAUCUCGUUUAUCGCCUCAUUAAUUGUCAGACCAGAUUUAGAGACUCGAUUAGCAUGACCUGCUGAUUUAAGCACAUUCUUAGGAGGGGCUUUAUUGAGUUUUGAUGUUAAUGCAAUGAUAGCCUUAAUAUUUUUGGUAGGAAAUUUUGGUGGUGCUUGUGGGAUUUUUGUGUCUGAGUUUGAGUUUGAGUUCGAGGUGAAUGGCGAUCUGUCAUUAAACUUUCUAGGCAUUCUUGGGGAAUUAUAAUCAUCAUCAUCAUCCAUAGGAAACUGGUAUUGAUCUGGGAAUGCAGAUGCAAGUGUGGUGUUUGCAUUUUGUAGCUCUUUCGAAAUAUGGUCGUACCUUUCUGCUAGGGAUCUGUAAGCUCUGUAGGACUCCUCGAUAAAGUUUAUCAACUCUGGUCGUCUUUUGUAGUACAUUUCUGCUCUCUUAGCAAAUGAGUCUCCAUCUUCUUGAAUGAGUUUAAGCACUGCUUCCACCUUUUCUCCCAUAUCUGCAACAAGCCAGCAACGUCUAAGUCUUGGGGAAGGGAAAUUAAUCUUUUGGUAAGUGGUGAGAAUCGAACUCCAAUUUUAAGGGUGGAAGAGAUAGUUUUCAAUGAGUUUUGUCAAGUUUGUCAAGAUGUAUACUCACUUUGUUUCUACUAGUUUUCCUUAUCGAUCAAAAAUAUAGGUUAAAACAUUUAAGAUUCAAAAAGGAAGACUAGAGUGUACAUACAUUCAAUUUGAUGUAUGAUAUCAAUAAGGUGUUCAUUUGAGUUAUUGGAUCGACUUCAGGUCAAUUGUUUCAGGUCAAUCAAUGUGAAAAAAAUGAGAUCAAUUAUGCAAUUUCAUGGUGAUGAUAACAAGCAAGAAAUUUUGCACAUUACUGUUUGGCAUUGUCAACUCCUAUGAUCUCUCAAAACCUUGAGAUCAUCUACCAAGAGAUAGGUUCUGAGUUCGACACUCCCCGAAGACUCCCACCGGGUAAUAAUGCCUAAUAACUAUUUAAUCUUGCAAUUGUAUUGAGAAAAUCAUGUUUUGAAAAUUACCCAGAAUUAUGAAAUGCAUUUUAAGAUCAAUUUUUAUAGAAAAAAAAGAAGAUAGAUGGUGUUCAUGAACAUACCU